RNAcentral lists this ribosomal RNA (413 nucleotides) under uncultured microorganism. RNAcentral describes it as "bacterial SSU rRNA". It matches the Rfam family "Archaeal small subunit ribosomal RNA", at positions 459 to 872 of the family's 1478-position model. The record is from RNAcentral.
CAGCCGCCGUGGUAAUACCGGCGGCCCGAGUGGCGGCCGUGUUUAUUGGGCCUAAAGGGUCCGUAGCCGGCCCCGUAAGUCUCCCGGGAAAUCGGGCGGCUCAAACGUCCGCUUCCGGGAGAUACUGCGGGGCUAGGGACCGGGAGAGGCCGGGGGUACUCCCGGGGUAGGGGUAAAAUCCUAUAAUCCCGGGGGGACCACCUGUGGCGAAGGCGCCCGGCUGGAACGGGUCCGACGGUGAGGGACGAAGGCCGGGGGAGCAAACCGGAUUAGAUACCCGGGUAGUCCCGGCUGUAAACGAUGCGGACUUUGUGUCGGCCAAGCUAUGAGCUUGUCCGGUGCCGGAGGGAAACCGUUAAGUCCGCCGCCUGGGGAGUACGGCCGCAAGGCUGAAACUUAAAGGAAUUGGCGGG